This 433-nucleotide ribosomal RNA is filed under the name uncultured bacterium. RNAcentral's name for it is "partial 16S ribosomal RNA". It matches the Rfam family "Bacterial small subunit ribosomal RNA", at positions 29 to 507 of the family's 1533-position model. The record is from RNAcentral.
AACGGACGCUGGCGGCAUGCCUAACACAUGCAAGUCGAACGAGACCUUCGGGUCUAGUGGCGCACGGGUGCGUAACGCGUGGGAACCUGCCCUUAGGUUCGGAAUAACUCAGAGAAAUUUGAGCUAAUACCGGAUAAUGUCUUCGGACCAAAGAUUUAUCGCCUUUGGAUGGGCCCGCGUAGGAUUAGCUUGUUGGUGGGGUAAUGGCCUACCAAGGCGACGAUCCUUAGCUGGUCUGAGAGGAUGAUCAGCCACACUGGGACUGAGACACGGCCCAGACUCCUACGGGAGGCAGCAGUGGGGAAUAUUGGACAAUGGGCGAAAGCCUGAUCCAGCAAUGCCGCGUGAGUGAUGAAGGCCUUAGGGUUGUAAAGCUCUUUUACCAGGGAUGAUAAUGACAGUACCUGGAGAAUAAGCUCCGGCUAACUCCGUG